CGCGGCCUAUCAGCUUGUUGGUGAGGUAACGGCUCACCAAGGCUACGACGGGUAGCUGGUCUGAGAGGACGACCAGCCACACUGGGACUGAGACACGGCCCAGACUCCUACGGGAGGCAGCAGCAGGGAAUAUUGCACUAUGGGCGAAAGCCUGAUGCAGCGACGCCGCGUGAGGGAUGAAGGCCUUCGAGUUGUAAACCUCUUUCAGGAGGGAAGAAGCGAAAGUGACGGUACCUCCAGAAGAAGCCCCGGCCAACUACGUGCCAGCAGCCGCGGUAAUACGUAGGGGGCAAGCGUUGUCCGGAUUCAUUGGGCGUAAAGAGCUCGUAGGCGGCUCAGCAAGUCGGUCGUGAAAGCCCGGGGCUCAACCCCGGGACGCCGAUCGAAACUGCUGUGGCUAGGGUCCGGUAGAGGAGAGUGGAAUUCCCGGUGUAGCGGUGAAAUGCGCAGAUAUCGGGAGGAACACCAGUAGCGAAGGCGGCUCUCUGGGCCAACACCGACGCUGAGGAGCGAAAGCUAGGGGAGCAAACAGGAUUGGAUACCCUGGUAGUCCUAGCCGUAAACGUUGGGCACUAGGUGUGGCGGAUUCAUUGACAUCUGCCGUGCCGUAGCUAACGCAUUAAGUGCCCCGCCUGGGGAGUACGG
Molecule: ribosomal RNA, 645 nt
Filed under: uncultured actinomycete
Lineage: Bacteria; Bacillati; Actinomycetota; Actinomycetes; Actinomycetales
Description: bacterial SSU rRNA
Rfam family: Bacterial small subunit ribosomal RNA
Source: RNAcentral